GACGAACGCUGGCGGCGUGCUUAACACAUGCAAGUCGAACGGUGAAGGGGAGCUUGCUCCCCGGAUCAGUGGCGAACGGGUGAGUAACACGUGGGCAACCUGCCCCAGACUUCGGGAUAACGCUUCGAAAGAGGUGCUAAUACCGGAUACGAACUCCUUGGGCAUCCUGGGGGUUGGAAAGUUUUUCGGUCUGGGAUGGGCCCGUGGCCUAUCAGCUUGUUGGUGAGGUAACGGCUCACCAAGGCGACGACGGGUAGCCGGCCUGAGAGGGCGACCGGCCACACUGGGACUGAGACACGGCCCAGACUCCUACGGGAGGCAGCAGUGGGGAAUAUUGCGCAAUGGGCGAAAGCCUGACGCAGCAACGCCGCGUGAGGGAUGACGGCCUUCGGGUUGUAAACCUCUUUCAGUAGGGACGAAGCGCAAGUGACGGUACCUACAGAAGAAGGACCGGCCAACUACGUGCCAGCCGCCGCAGUAA
Molecule: ribosomal RNA, 481 nt
Filed under: uncultured bacterium
Lineage: Bacteria
Description: partial 16S ribosomal RNA
Rfam family: Bacterial small subunit ribosomal RNA
Source: RNAcentral